AGUGAACGCUGGCGGUAGGCCUAACACAUGCAAGUCGAACGGCAGCACAGUAAGAGCUUGCUCUUACGGGUGUCGAGUGGCGGACGGGUGAGGAAUACAUCGGAAUCUACUUUUUCGUGGGGGAUAACGUAGGGAAACUUACGCUAAUACCGCAUACGACCUACGGGUGAAAGCAGGGGAUCUUCGGACCUUGCGCGAUUGAAUGAGCCGAUGUCGGAUUAGCUAGUUGGCGGGGUAAAGGCCCUCCAAGGCGACGAUCCGUAGCUGGUCUGAGAGGAUGAUCAGCCAGACUGGAACUGAGACACGGCCCAGACUCCUACGGGAGGACGCAGUGGGGAAUAUUGGACGAUGGGGGAAAGCCUGAUCCAGCCAUACCGCGUGGGUGCAGAAGGAGUUCGGGUUGGAAAGCCCUUUUGUUGGGAAAGAAAAGCAGCAGGUUAAUACCCCGCUGUUCUGACGGUACCCAAAGAAUAAGCACCGGCUAACUUCGUG
RNAcentral lists this ribosomal RNA (492 nucleotides) under uncultured bacterium. RNAcentral's name for it is "partial 16S ribosomal RNA". It matches the Rfam family "Bacterial small subunit ribosomal RNA", at positions 29 to 507 of the family's 1533-position model. The record is from RNAcentral.